RNAcentral lists this ribosomal RNA (496 nucleotides) under uncultured bacterium. RNAcentral describes it as "partial 16S ribosomal RNA". It matches the Rfam family "Bacterial small subunit ribosomal RNA", at positions 29 to 523 of the family's 1533-position model. The record is from RNAcentral.
AUUGAACGCUGGCGGCAUGCCUUACACAUGCAAGUCGAACGCGAAAGGGGGCAACCCUGAGUAGAGUGGCGAACGGGUGAGUAAUGCAUCGGAACGUGUCCUGUAGCGGGGGACAACCCCGAGAAAUCGGGGCUAAUACCGCAUACGUCCUACGGGAGAAAGUGGGGACCGCAAGGCCUCACACUAUAGGGGCGGCCGAUGCCGGAUUAGCUAGUUGGUGGGGUAAGAGCCCACCAAGGCGACGAUCCGUAGCUGGUCUGAGGGGAUGAUCAGCCACACUGGGACUGAGACACGGCCCAGACUCCUACGGGAGGCAGCAGUGGGGAAUUUUGGACAAUGGGCGCAAGCCUGAUCCAGCCAUGCCGCGUGAGUGAAGAAGGCCUUCGGGUUGUAAAGCUCUUUCGGCCGGGACGAAAUCGCUCUCGCUAAUAUCGGGAGUGGAUGACGGUACCGAAAUAAGAAGCACCGGCUAACUACGUGCCAGCCGCCGCGGUAA